AGACCUUAUGAAGGCGGAGACGACGAGGCGCCCAGGCUUUGAGAUGUGUCCUGCCCAGACUCAAUUAACCUUCUGUACCGAGUCUCUCUGGCGACCAACGCAUGCAUGAGAACACCGCUGAUCUAGAUGGACGACCCCGACUGACCUACUGGAGUUAUUCUCUGAGACAUAACUGUUAACUUAGAAACAAUGUCUGUCUCUACUGUAUUGGCAAAGGCCCUGUUCGACAACACGGCAGAGAGCCCGGAGGAGCUGGCUUUCCGGAAGGGUGACAUACUGAUGGUUCUUGAACAGGAACAGGGUGGCGGGCCAGGGUGGUGGCUCUGCUCCCUGCAUGGCAGACAGGGCAUUGUCCCUGCCAACCGCCUUCGACUCCUUCAGACUGCCCCACCCCCAGGCUCAGACCCCCGUCGGGGUCCCGUUGAGGACUCUGUCUACUUGUCGCCGGUUCCUCCACUGGCCCGGACUGCUGUCGGCAGUAGCGCAGAAGACAUAGAUGGAGUGUAUCGCUCCCCGCCAGGCGUGGGUGAGGGACGAGGAGCUGCCUCAAGGCCCGGGGAGCUACGGAGAGUCGAGUGUGGGCGCCCACGCUCACACUCCAGCUCUGGCACUCGGCCUAGACCUGACUGGGAUUUAGGAGUGGCAGGGCGUCCACGCUCACCCUCUCUGAGAGGACGAAGCACAGAAAUGACAGGAACACUUUAUCAGACUCCAGUAAGUCCCAUGCCCUUAGCAGCUCAGCAUACCAGACAGCCAGGGGCUCUCAUGACUUCAGAGUCAGUGUACCUCGCCCCCACCGGAGUUCCAAGGGCAGCUGAUGAACCAGAGGACACUACAUAUCUAGUCCCUAGAGAAACACUAACAGGACACUCUGAAGACUGUUACUUGGUGCCCAAAGGUACACCACUUGCAGGUGACAGUGUUUACCAAUCCCCAACAGGAGGAGUUGCGGGCACUGCUGUCUGCUCUGAUGGCCCUAGUGGAACACUCUGUACCCCACCUUCGAAAGUGAGCCAAGACACACCUGGAAUGUACCAAACACCUACCCCUGUGGGAGCAAGCCUUCACAGGACUUCAGCCACGGCUUUGGCCCACCAGCAUCCAUCUCAGUUAUCACUAGUCCAAGCAUCUCCCAGACCUCUGCUCAAGGGAGUUUCACCCAAACCGGCUGUUGCCAAGGGCAAACCAGGCCUGGCCUGUAACCGUGGGUCUCCUUUGCUGAUCCGAGCAGGGCAGGGCAGGGUUCCUGGAUCACCAAACUUUACCCGCAAACCUCGUCCACCAGCACCUCCAGUGAGGGGAGUGACCAGGAAAGAUGCCACGCAAUCAUCAGCUAAUUCUAACAGUGUCCCCAAACCCAAUGCUCAGGUCACUUCUGCAAGCCUGCAGCAAGAAGAGGACAAACAGAGGGGACUUCCUACGAGUAAGGAGGAAAGGAUAAAUAAUGGCCUGGAGAAAAGUAAUAACAUGCUGAACAAAAAAGUAGAAAUUUGGGAUUACUCAGAUGGUGUGGAUGACCAGGUGUAUGAUACCCCUCCCAGAGGCAGGUGGCAAUGUCCAGUCCCAUCUUCCCUUGGUGAUGAUGAUGAUGAUGCUGAUGAUGGCAUCUAUGACACCCCUCGCAGCGGCCCACCACAAGCUGAUUCAGAGACCGAGGUUUAUGAUGUCCCCACCAUCACUCUGAAUUUGUCCACGUCAGAUGUCAAGCCUGACGAAGUUGAUGACGAUGUAUACAGUGUUCCUACACUUCCAGGUUUACCUCUGGGCCCGGGGGAGUCCACCAACAGCCUCUCUGGUGAUGAUGUUGGACAGGUCUAUCGUGUCCCUGGACCUGAGAAACGAGCCUGCAGUGGAGGUCAUAACCGAGACUCUUCUGAGCAUGACUGUGGCAUCUAUGACAUGCCUGCAUUGACUGCGGAAAUCCUCCCUCACUCUUUGUCAUCCUCCUCCACCUCUACUCGCCGUCUCUCUGUUUCUAGUAAUGGUUCAGGUGACGUGCAAUGGAGAGCCACACUUUCCAGCCUUGUGCACUCGGUGCUUAACACAGCCUCCAGCUCGGCCUCCGCUCUGUCGUCACGGGACCUGGCCACCUCGUUGGCUGAAAUCCUGUCGACCUGGAAAGCCAGUCAUUCAGAUGAUCCUCCACCGCCUCUUCAGCAGGCAUGGGCUCGUCUAUCUGACCUCCUUCCGGCGUUAUCCGCUAUUGGCAAUGCUCCUCCAUCAGAAGGGCUGUUGACGCUAGUUCAGCGCUCCCUAGAAGAAAGUGCCCUCCUCUUGCAGGCUCAGGGCCGACCACGUUUGCCUUCCCAAGAUUCCCUGUCCCGCAGGCCAUUGCCUGCGCUCCCAGUGCCUGAUGGGAAGUCCUCAGGAGGUGGGAUGGGCUCACGUAAAGGUAGCUGGAUCCAAGAGAGGCCCCUGCCACCAACCCCUCAGCCUGCCUUUCCCUUGCCUCCCACUCUGUCGACUGUGACACUUACAGUGGGCCCCAUUGAUGGAGAAGAUGACCCUAGCAAUGAGUAUGCUGGGAUCGGCUUGACCCCCAUACCUGCCCCUGUACCUACUGGAGACAGUGUUGGAUAUGUCAAGCUGCAGGGUAAACCUGAGCCACUUCCAGAUGUCCUGGGUGAGAACGGGCACAUACAGACUAUCACCGCAGAGCCAACGUUGACCCCAUCCCCUCCACUCCCUGUGUCUCUCUCCCUGGAGGACUCGGAGCUGCUGUCCUUUUACUCGUCUCAAAGCCUCGCUCACCUCUCCUGCCUGGCAGACGCCAUCGAUGUGCUCUUCAGCAGCGUGCAGGGAAACCAGCCUCCCCGCAUCUUCGUCGCUAGAGGAAAGAGUCUCAUCGUGACGGCCCACAAACUGGUGUUUAUAGGGGACACACUCUCCCGCCUUCUCACCUCGGGCGACCUCCGGGGCAAGAUCACAACCUCAGGGGGACGACUCUGCCAGGCCUUGAAGUCAGUUGUUGUGGCAACAAAGGGCGCUGCACAAAACUACCCUUCAGUAUCUGCUACCCAGGAGAUGGUGGACCGUGUCGCUGAGCUCUCCCAGCAAGCAGCUGGCUUCUCCACUCUGCUCCAGCGCCUGGCAGAAAUAUCCUCAUGAUAUUUCAUAUCAUUUGCGUAAAAACUAUGUUUACACUACACAUUUUCUCUCUUUGAAAUGCCUUAUUUGUUGUUGUUACUCCUUCAUUACCUUUUGUUUGAAUGGGAUUGAAGCGAGCAAAGUUGAAUCCUGGAACACACGUUUAGCCUCGCUGCAGCUGCUACAAAGCUGAGUUUUGACGGUUGGUUCUGUCCUCCAAGUGUGUAUUUGUUUGGAUUUUGUUUCAAUAAUGACCCAGCAUGGAUCAGAUGAAGACCAGACACAUGGAGUCAGCUGUGAGUGUGUCUUGGACUAUGAGUUAGUUUGAGGAGUGUUUGUGACCCUGGGUGUCCGUUAACUGGUGAGUUAUUCAUAGCAAGAGUGACCCAGAUCACUGGCCCCUAGCACCCUGCCUCUGACUCUUCAGUGUUUUUUUUCUGUCUUACCCUACACAUCAUUUGGUCUCCUCUCAGACUAAACCUCACAUUGGCCAAUCUCUA
This is an RNA transcript of Etheostoma cragini (Arkansas darter), 3587 nucleotides long. It is a transcript of the gene named embryonal Fyn-associated substrate, with no coding region annotated. Lineage: Eukaryota; Metazoa; Chordata; Actinopteri; Perciformes; Percidae. The record is from RefSeq and is a predicted model, not a curated record. The transcript is spliced from 8 exons.